CCUUUUCUUCUUUGUCUCUCUCAUUUUUCUCCUUUCCUUCUUCAACUUUGAUUUUCCAAAUCAAACUCUACAAAACUUUUAGUAAGUGAAAAUCAAAUUCUUCUUUUAAGCUUGAAAGAUUUGGGCUUUCUUAAUCAAGGAAAACAAAGGUGAGUAAUUUUAAUUGCUUGAUUUUGCUGUAAAUUAGGGUUAAUGAUAUGAAAUUGUUGAUGAUUAUGUGUUUUGGAAUUGUUUAAUCAAGAGUAAACAUGCUUUUACUUGUGAUCUUGAAGCUGAAAUUUCUGGGCAGAUUUUUCACUUAUGAUUUCGUGACCUUAGAGGCUUUAUCUCGAAAAUUUUCAAACAUGAAAGUUGUAGGUAUAUGUCUCAAGAAUAUCUCUGUAAAAUGGUUUUGCAGAUUGUUGAGUGAGUAGGAACUUAUGAGGUUCGAUUUUGCUGUUGCUCUGUUUUUGGUUCAGCAGGUGACCUGGUUUUUGUGCUGACAUUUUGAGGCAUUUAGAGGCUGAACCAAGCAGAGAGUUAAACAUGAAAGUUGUUCAUUUAUAUAUGUAGUAUAUGUCUGAAAAAUUUCAUAAUUUUUGGUUGAGUAUAACGUGAGAUAUGUUGAACUUAAUAUGGCCUGCCCGAAACUGUUUUAAGCAGAAAUCGGGCUUAGGAUUUAGAAAUUUGUUGCUAAUUGUGUGUUUCACAACUUGAGCUAGAAAAGUCCAAAUUGAGUAAAAUUAGUGUCUAUAGAAACUUUAGAAUGUUAACUUUAUAUCUGGAGAGUUUCAUCAGAAAAUUCAUUUGUUUGAUUGGUCAUUUAAUAGGAAACUUUUUUCUGUUCUGUUUAGAUAGAAAUUUGAGCAGCUGUAUAGAAAAUACCAUAACUAUUUCUAUACCAAUGAUUUUGAGGUGAUUCUUUCUGCUAUGGUUUCUAUAAAAAUGGAAGUGUAAUUCUGGAAAAUAUGAGAUUUUUAUUAAUUGUACAUAAGUUUUGGUGUAAUUUCUAAGUCAGUACCUACAAGCUGCCUUCAUCAACAAAUAUGUUGAUUUGUUGUCAUUCAUCUCAUGCAUCAUAUUAAUAUCUAGAAUAUAUGUUAUUUUGUUGAAAUGUGAUAUUUUAUUGAUAGUAAAUAUAUAUAUAUAUAUAUAUAUAUAUAUAUAUAUAUAUAUAUAUAUAUAUAUAUAUAUAUAUAUAUAUAUAUAUUUAUGCCUUGUGAUUGAAUUGUAUUUGUAUUGAAUAUGUGAAUAGGUUCAUCCAAAGGCAAGGAAGUGGUAAGAGAAAAAGAAUAGGAUUACUUUAUUAUCCUAUAACUUCUGGUAAGUAUUUAAUAGACUAAACUUUGUGUAUAUUGAGUAGGGACUGCUGUUUGAUUACUUGAUAAUUUCUUGGUUGACUGAGUUGAUAUUAGUUAUGUUUUUGGCUUGUUAUAAAGUGAAUUGAUUGUGAUGUGUUGUGAAGUGAAUUGAUUGUGAUGUGUUGUGAAGUGAAAUGAUUGUGAUUAAGGAUUGAUGACUUUUGUAUGGAUAUUGUGUGAUCGGGAAAGCUGAGCCGGGCGGAUAGCUACCCGAGUAUGUGAGAUGGCAAGACUGAGCCGGGCGGAUAGUCUUGUCAAGUGGUUACUGAAAUUUAAAAAUAUGAGGAAAUGUAAGGAUGAGUCAUCUGAUCCUAAUUUGAUAGAAAUAAUGUGGAAUUGAAUUAUUUGACUUGGUUGAGUUUGAGAUUAUUUGCAUUACGUGAGAUGAAAUUAUAUGUUUAUGAGAAUAACUGAAAUGGUUGAUUUUGUGAUUGUUAGUUAAGUGUUGGUAUAAUUUUCUGUAUUGAUAAAGAUUUGAUAAUUCUAGCCUAAUAUACUAUAGUUUAGUAAAUUAAAUGCUUAUUGAGUCGCUAGCUCAUUCCUUAGCAAUUCUUUUUUUCAGGUUAGUGCAGUUGUAGAUAGCCUUAGCUGUGCAUUGCUCUUUUUGCAUCAGUCAAUAUUAUCAGGUGGGCCAGAGGAGUUAUCUAAAGCAUUAGGGCAUUUUGGGAACUUGUGUGAAUUAAACUACUUUAUAAAUAUUUCUUAUAUAUAUUAAGUAUGUCAUGCCACUUAAAUUGUAUGAAUGUAUAUUGUAACUAAGUAGUAAAUUAUGUUUAUAAAGUUAUAUAUAUAUAUAUAUAUAUAUAUAUAUAUUGCUAUUCAAUGGGAAGUUUGAGUUGGGG
This 2182-nucleotide long non-coding RNA is filed under the name Ricinus communis (castor bean). RNAcentral's name for it is "long non-coding RNA (RCOM_LNC001625)". Lineage: Eukaryota; Viridiplantae; Streptophyta; Magnoliopsida; Malpighiales; Euphorbiaceae. The record is from RNAcentral.